ACAGCGGACAAUUAGGUUCCAGGCUGGGCUGCCGGCCUCCCUCUCCCUCCCUCCCUCUCCCUCUCCCUCUCCCUCACGUACACCUCCCCUUCUCCAUCCAUCUGCAAGGCCAGUGGCAGCCCAGCUCCAGCUCCGUCCCUUCCUGGACACAGAGCCCCCUCGCUGAGGGUGGGGAGCACCCCUGCAGGAGAACGAGGGAGCCCCAGGAUCCCCGCCCAGCUCUGCACCCCGAGACCGCGGCUCAAGUCCCACGGCCCCACCCCAAGCAGGGUCAGGAGUGGGCACGUUCCGGGGAAGCGAAGCGUGGGACCCGGCCCUGGGAAGCAGCCUCUGCCCUUCACCGAGGGGGCCUUUGAUCUGGGCCCUGGGAGGAACUUGGAAGGACUUCUCCAACCUGCAGGAACACAUUUGAGGAUGACAUCCAGUGACCGGCUGCUUCCCGAGGACUGGCCUUGGCUCACCCCGUGUCCCUCUGCCUGGAAUUCCCCUGGCGUCUUCCCAGCCUGACCUCAGCUUGGGGGCCACUUCUUCCUGAAGGCUCCUGAAUGUCCAGCUGGACAGUCCCCCUGAAUGGAUUCCACUGGAAUGACCACUGAGCAAGGGGACCUUCCUGGAGCCAUCAUAUUCACAAUGCCCAGCAAACAGUAGGUGCUCAAUAAACAUCUGUCUCACAAAC
RNAcentral lists this long non-coding RNA (676 nucleotides) under Ictidomys tridecemlineatus (thirteen-lined ground squirrel). Its description in RNAcentral is "lncRNA (ENSSTOG00000033195.1)". Lineage: Eukaryota; Metazoa; Chordata; Mammalia; Rodentia; Sciuridae. The record is from RNAcentral.